AGUGAACGCUGGCGGCAGGCCUAACACAUGCAAGUCGAGCGGCAGCGGGUCCUUCGGGAUGCCGGCGAGCGGCGGACGGGUGAGGAAUGCAUCGGAAUCUGCCCUGUCGUGGGGGAUAACCUAGGGAAGCUUAGGCUAAUACCGCAUACGACCCACGGGUGAAAGCGGGGGAUCGCAAGACCUCGCGCGAUAGGAUGAGCCGAUGUCCGAUUAGCUAGUUGGCGGGGUAAAGGCCCACCAAGGCGACGAUCGGUAGCUGGUCUGAGAGGAUGAUCAGCCACACUGGGACUGAGACACGGCCCAGACUCCUACGGGAGGCAGCAGUGGGGAAUAUUGGACAAUGGGCGCAAGCCUGAUCCAGCCAUGCCGCGUGGGUGAAGAAGGCCUUCGGGUUGUAAAGCCCUUUUGUCCGGGAAGAAAUCGUCUGGGCUAAUACCCCGGGCGGAUGACGGUACCGGAAGAAUAAGCACCGGCUAACUUCGUG
This 484-nucleotide ribosomal RNA is filed under the name uncultured bacterium. Its description in RNAcentral is "partial 16S ribosomal RNA". It matches the Rfam family "Bacterial small subunit ribosomal RNA", at positions 30 to 507 of the family's 1533-position model. The record is from RNAcentral.